RNAcentral lists this long non-coding RNA (1618 nucleotides) under Sorghum bicolor (sorghum). Its description in RNAcentral is "long non-coding RNA (SBIC_LNC007283)". Lineage: Eukaryota; Viridiplantae; Streptophyta; Magnoliopsida; Poales; Poaceae. The record is from RNAcentral.
UGUUGUAAUUAGUUUGUGGGGAUAGAUAUUGAGAUGAGAUGUAUAAUUUCUAUUUUAUAAUUUAUCUUUUGUAUUAUAUAAUUUAUAUGAUAUAAUUUAUCCUAUGUUGUAAUUAGUUUGUGGGGAUAGAUAUUGAGAUGAGAUGUAUAAUUUCUAUUUUAUAAUUUAUCUUUUGUAUUAUAUAAUUUAUAUGAUAUAAUUUAUCAUGUGUUGUAAUUAGUUUGUGGGGAUAGAUAUUGAGAUGAGAUGUAUAAUUUCUAUUUUAUAAUUUAUCUUUUGUAUUAUAUAAUUUAUAUGAUAUAAUUUAUCCUAUGUUGUAAUUAGUUUGUGGGGAUAGAUAUUGAGAUGAGAUGUAUAAUUUCUAUUUUAUAAUUUAUCUUUUGUAUUAUAUAAUUUAUAUGAUAUAAUUUAUCAUGUGUUGUAAUUAGUUUGUGGGGAUAGAUAUUGAGAUGAGAUGUAUAAUUUCUAUUUUAUAAUUUAUCUUUUGUAUUAUAUAAUUUAUAUGAUAUAAUUUAUCCUAUGUUGUAAUUAGUUUGUGGGGAUAGAUAUUGAGAUGAGAUGUAUAAUUUCUAUUUUAUAAUUUAUCUUUUGUAUUAUAUAAUUUAUAUGAUAUAAUUUAUCAUGUGUUGUAAUUAGUUUGUGGGGAUAGAUAUUGAGAUGAGAUGUAUAAUUUCUAUUUUAUAAUUUGUCUUUUGUAUUAUAUAAUUUAUAUGAUAUAAUUUAUCAUGUGUUGUAAUUAGUUUGUGGGGAUAGAUAUUGAGAUGAGAUGUAUAAUUUAUAUUUUAUAAUUUAUCUUUUGUAUUAAAUAAUUUAUAUGAUAUAAUUUAUCAUGUGUUGUAAUUAGUUUGUGGGGAUAGAUAUUGAGAUGAGAUGUAUAAUUUUUAUUUUAUAGUUUAUCUUUUGUAUUACAUAAUUUAUAUGAUAUAAUUUAUCAUGUGUUGUAAUUAGUUUGUGGGGAUAGAUAUUGAGAUGAGAUGUAUAAUUUGUAUUUUAUAAUUUAUCUUUUGUAUUAUAUAAUUUAUAUGAUAUAAUUUAUCCUAUGUUGUAAUUAGUUAGUAGGGAUAGAUAUUGAGAUGAGAUGUAUAAUUUCUAUUUUAUAAUUUAUCUUUUGUAUUAUAUAAUUUAUAUGAUAUAAUUUAUCAUGUGUUGUAAUUAGUUUGUGGGGAUAGAUAUUGAGAUGAGAUGUAUAAUUUGUAUUUUAUAAUUUAUCUUUUGUAUUAAAUAAUUUAUAUGAUAUAAUUUAUCAUGUGUUGUAAUUAGUUUGUGGGGAUAGAUAUUGAGAUGAGAUGUAUAAUUUUUAUUUUAUAGUUUAUCUUUUGUAUUAUAUAAUUUAUAUGAUAUAAUUUAUCAUGUGUUGUAAUUAGUUUGUGGUGAUAGAUAUUGAGAUGAGAUGUAUAAUUUGUAUUUUAUAAUAUAUCUUUUGUAUUAUAUAAUUUAUAUGAUAUAAUUUAUCCUAUGUUGUAAUUAGUUAGUAGGGAUAGAUAUUGAGAUGAGAGGUAUAAUUUGUAUUUUAUAAUUUAUCUUUUGUAUUAUAUAAUUUAUAUGAUAUAAUUUAUCUUAGUUGUUGUAUCGAAUAUUGUCUAAGUUUUAACACUUGAUUAAAUUUGCAGAAAUGGCC